ACAUGCAAGUCGAACGAUCUCUUCGGAGAUAGUGGCAGACGGGUGAGUAACGCGUGGGAACCUACCUUUAGGUACGGAACAACAGUUGGAAACGACUGCUAAUACCGUAUGUCCCCUAUGGGGGAAAGAUUUAUCGCCUAAGGAUGGGCCCGCGUUGGAUUAGCUAGUUGGUGGGGUAAUGGCCUACCAAGGCGACGAUCCAUAGCUGGUCUGAGAGGAUGAUCAGCCACACUGGGACUGAGACACGGCCCAGACUCCUACGGGAGGCAGCAGUGGGGAAUAUUGGACAAUGGGGGCAACCCUGAUCCAGCCAUGCCGCGUGAGUGAUGAAGGCCCUAGGGUUGUAAAGCUCUUUCAGCGAGGAGGAUAAUGACGUUACUCGCAGAAGAAGCCCCGGCUAACUUCGUGCCAGCAGCCGCGGUAAUACGAAGGGGGCUAGCGUUGUUCGGAAUCACUGGGCGUAAAGCGCACGUAGGCGGACUUUUAAGUCAGGGGUGAAAUCCCGGGGCUCAACCCCGGAACUGCCUUUGAUACUGGAAGUCUUGAGUCCGAGAGAGGUGAGUGGAACUCCGAGUGUAGAGGUGAAAUUCGUAGAUAUUCGGAAGAACACCAGUGGCGAAGGCGGCUCACUGGCUCGGUACU
Molecule: ribosomal RNA, 642 nt
Filed under: Stappia sp. E986
Lineage: Bacteria; Pseudomonadati; Pseudomonadota; Alphaproteobacteria; Hyphomicrobiales; Stappiaceae
Description: bacterial SSU rRNA
Rfam family: Bacterial small subunit ribosomal RNA
Source: RNAcentral